RNAcentral lists this ribosomal RNA (17 nucleotides) under Fagus grandifolia (American beech). Its description in RNAcentral is "partial 28S ribosomal RNA". Lineage: Eukaryota; Viridiplantae; Streptophyta; Magnoliopsida; Fagales; Fagaceae. RNAcentral also lists the same sequence under 1 other name. The record is from RNAcentral.
CGCGACCCCAGUCAGGC